Molecule: long non-coding RNA, 1464 nt
Organism: Ictalurus punctatus (channel catfish)
Lineage: Eukaryota; Metazoa; Chordata; Actinopteri; Siluriformes; Ictaluridae
Source: Ensembl
CAGAGGGUUAAUAAUCUUUAUAAGGCUUUACCAAUCCUGUGGGUGGUAGGGGAAAACAGUGACCCAGAUUAUCUACUGGAAGGCUUUGGGUUGAUUGUAACCGGUGAACGGUAGAGUAUGUGGGAGAUACAGCCUGUAGAAUGCUUUCAAAUUUAAAGGUUAGGUCUAAUGUACAGUCAGUGAUAUGUGAUGGACCCUCCUGGGAAGUUCAUAUUUACGAGUUGGGAAGUCGUAAUUAUAAUGUCAGGUGCGUUCAAGUCACUUUGGUCAGAGCGAGAUGACGGUGUACCUUCUCUUAAUUAACUACAAAAAAAAUACAGCAUGUUUUUUUAACUCUCCUUCUAGAAAAUGAAGAAUAAAGAUAACCACCAAAAGGCAGCCGUAUUUCCCAAGACGGGCUGUAAUGAGGUGAAAGGCAGAUGUCUGAAGCAGAGCAGAAACACAUGGAGGAGAGUUGAACUGGCACUGCCAGCAUGUUUAGACGAGUACCAGCAGCAGGCACAGUGGCACUACUGGCGUCAGCGUCUGCAGAACAGUACUGUAGCACGGCAGAGGUGGUCACAGCCCGCCGGCUUCCAACGUUUCACACACUCUUUGUCUCUGUCGCUCUCUGUCUGUCUGUUUGCACCAGGGAAAAAAGUUUCUACACUUUAAUAACACUUUAAUCACUUUGUGUUCUGAUAUCUGGCUGAAAGUGUGUGCAUGUGCCACCAAAAAAAGGUUGCUUCCUUGUAAAAUUCUUUCUUAGAAGUCCUGAAGACUGUUUUCCAUCUGGUGUGAAGGGGCUCAGAAAAAACAGACGAAACUCAUUUAUUUAGCUGAGCAAAUUUGUAGACAAGACUCUGUACUAACACUUCACUAAGAAACACUCACUAAUAUUGCUUUGUACAUAUUGCAUUUUUAAAGGAACUUCUCUGACCCUGUCACACACUUUCAUUAACUGCUUUAUCCCGGUCAAGGUCAUAGUGAAUUCAGAGUUUAUGCCAGUGUCAUGUAAUGGAGGCGGAGACGGAAGCAAAUGCAGGUAUUGCAGCUUUAAUGAGAGAAUAAAAUCCAAAGGGCAAGGCAAAAUCAGAAACUAAGACAGGCAAAGGUCAGGCGAUCAGGCAAACAGACAAAUAGAGCAGGUAAGGCAGAUAAUCAGAGUCAAGGACAAAACAGAAUCAAAACCAGAAUAACAAAACUAGAGACUAAAGCAAGUGAGCGUUCACUUGAGUAGCAUGAUCCUGCAAUACCAGAGGCUACAUUUUCAGGACCACAGUCCUAGGACCGCACUUUUAGGACCCUAGGUUUUAGUGACAGCGCCACCUACCGAAUCAGAGGAGCAAUGACCGCAUUUUUUGUGGCAACAUUGAAGAUGGACAACAAUCAGAGUGUGAGUACCAAAUGUGAAUCAAUUUUUAUUUGUUCAACAUUAAAAAACCAUUGUGAUGCAUUGAAUUGGACAGCAAAGUUAACAUAGCC